Molecule: microRNA precursor, 52 nt
Organism: Bos indicus x Bos taurus (hybrid cattle)
Lineage: Eukaryota; Metazoa; Chordata; Mammalia; Artiodactyla; Bovidae
Source: Ensembl
CUGCCCUGUGGGGUCCUGCGCUGGAAGGACAGCAGGUCCCUGCCGGGCGGAG